This 446-nucleotide long non-coding RNA is filed under the name Mus musculus (house mouse). RNAcentral's name for it is "predicted gene, 49466". The record is from RNAcentral. Lineage: Eukaryota; Metazoa; Chordata; Mammalia; Rodentia; Muridae.
UGGGGAACACAGGCCCAGAGAGGUUGAUCCUGGAUAAGCUGGACCUUCUGGAUAUGGCACAGAGGGAGAUUUGGUCUGGUGAGUCUGGGCUCUAGAAAGCAGGGCGUGAUGUAGGAAUGGGCUACCCCCCACAAACUGGAGCAUACUGGCUUUGCAAAGUCUUCCCUCUCUGACUGUUGCUGAUUUUCCAGGCCCCUCUAAUGUUUGCUACUCAUUAUUCUGCUCUUCCGACUAUAGUCCACUGACCCCUCGCCCAGGUCCAGAACUGACCCUGGACUUUCCUGUUUCUCUCCCCGACAUCUCCCACCCAGAGCCUCUGAGCUAUAUUCAGCAUGUACCGGAGCCCAUCAGAGCUGCUCUACCUGGCCAGUCAGGCAGUGGGUUUUGAUGUAACUUUUACAUUUGUUCUUUGUAACAUUAAACAGUGUGUCGUGUAUUUUUAUUGA